UUUGUGUUUCCAAAUUCUUUUGGCCUAUGCCUAAGUUCCCUCCUUUUAAGGGAUUUGAUCAUCCUUUCCCUUUACCUCCACCUUUGGAGCUUCCACCGUUUCCUAAACCAUGCCCACCACCUCCGGUUCCGGUGUACGAGCCACCCCCAAAGGUGGAACUUCCACCACCUGUCCCGGUUCACGAGCCACCCCCAAAGGUAGAGGUUCCACCACCCGUCCCGGUUCACGACCCACCGCCAAAGGUGGAGCACCCACCUCCGGUUCCGGUUUACAAGCCACCUCCAAAGGUAGAGCACCCACCUCCAGUUCCGGUUUACAAGCCGCCUCCAAAGGUAGAGCACCCACCUCCGGUUCCGGUUUACAAGCCACCUCCAAAGGUAGAGCACCCACCUCCGGUUCCAGUACACAAGCCACCAACAAUCCCUAAGAAGCCAUGCCCGCCUAAGUCGCCGAAGAUUGAGCUUCCACCGCCAGUGCCAGUUCACAAACCACCGACUAAGAAGCCUUGUCCGCCCAUGCCACCAAAGAAAGUUGAUCCGCCACCGGUUCCAGUCCACAAGCCGCCGCCGAAAAUAGUCCUUCCACCGCCGGUACCAAUCCACAAGCCGCCAAAGAAGCCGUGCCCGCCUAAACCGCCAAAGGUCGAGCUUCCACCACCAGUACCGGUCUACAAGCCACCACCGAAGAUAGAGCAUCCACCAAUCUAUGUGCCACCGGUGAUCCCGAAGAAGC
Molecule: long non-coding RNA, 732 nt
Filed under: Brassica rapa (field mustard)
Lineage: Eukaryota; Viridiplantae; Streptophyta; Magnoliopsida; Brassicales; Brassicaceae
Description: long non-coding RNA (BRAP_LNC006073)
Source: RNAcentral